Long non-coding RNA from Tetranychus urticae (two-spotted spider mite), 1748 nucleotides. RefSeq lists it as uncharacterized. Lineage: Eukaryota; Metazoa; Arthropoda; Arachnida; Trombidiformes; Tetranychidae. The record is from RefSeq and is a predicted model, not a curated record.
GGUAUUCUUGUUGAGUUUGAUUGCGAUUGUUUACUUUGAUAACGUUUAAUAUUAAUUUCAAUGUUGAUUAUUUGACAAUUUGUGAUUUAUUUAUGUGAUUAUGGCAAGGGAUGGUUAAAAGGAUCAAAUCAAGAUGAACGAUUGGAAUGGCUAAAAAAGAAAAAUAUCUGUUUUGGAUAAAUACUGUAAAGCAUAAAAAUGUUCAUAUAUGCUUGUUGUGUGUAAUGUAUCUUUAUUCAUCUGCUCGCUUACCUGAUUGACGAGGUAGAAAACAUCAAUUUUAACCUGUAAAUUGUGAUAAUUGUUGAUAUAGAUAGUUGGUGAGAGCUGACAUAAUGUUUCAAAGGAACUCAACCGGAUCACAUAAUAAUAUUCGUAAUGGAUUCAAAUGAGCUACGAAUUUUUUUACUUUAAUUUAGUCUUCUUGGUUCCUUUAUUUUGGUCAAUUUUUCGCUAUACAUUUGGACUCAACUGGUCAAUUGAUUGAAUCCUAUUUGACCAUAAUCAAUGGAUUGUCUCAUGGCUCAACCAAAAGUAUCACAACCAGAACAAAGUGUAACAAAUUAUAAAGUGUAUUAGCAUACAUUAAUUAACCAUUAUCGACAGUCACAAUUUUAGAUUGACAAUCUGCUUAAAAUCAGCCCAGCCCGUUACAAAUCGUACUCUCACCUCAAUAAAUAAGCUAAAAUUCAACGUUAUUAUCGGGAUAAAGUUACAUUCAUCUAGUGCCAAAAAAAUACUGAACCGCAAAUCUCUGAGCCAUCAAUUGAUUUUAAAUGCUGCCAGUAAUCUCUUUCAAUCCAAUCCUCGAUUUGAUUAUUGUUCAACUCAGCUAAUCACAAAUAUAGACAAAGGUUAUCAAUAUUUGAGCUCACAAUUUGAUGCACACAGGUUCAGUUAGUUGAACUGUUGCAUUGAAAUCUUGUCCCUUAUUCAAGCAAUUGCUAAAAUCGGAUAAAUUACCUUCACAACUAGUAGUCAUUUGAAAAUCUUUUUCCUCUCCAGGUAACUACCCUUUUUACUUGAUUUAAUUUUGUCAUUACUUUUACUUUUUUUACUGACAUUUAAGGAGUAGAAGUGCAAAAUUGGUGAAGAAAAAAAUAAGAAAUCAUUUAACGAUGAAAAGAGGUUUUUGCUAUGAUUUUUUAUAUUUAAUAUCAUCAAUUGGAAAUCAACUGUCAAUCGUCUAAGGUUGAUAAUCUUUGAUUAUUGGAAGGGAGCGAAAGUUAUCAACCGAUUCAUUACUGAAUCUAGUUUCAUUGAGGUUCAACUCUUGAACUAAACCUUUUUUGUACUCUAUUAUGAUAUUGUAUUGUUAUCGGUUACUGAUGGGCUUAAACUGAACAAAUUUUACUGAUUAAUAAUUAUUUUUAGCUGUCGUCUCUUAACCUUUUGUUUAUAUCGUUUAAGUUAUUCACAAUUUAACAUGUAAGCGAAGUGUCGAUUUAAACUGAUUUGAUUCUGAUUAUAGACGAAAUAUUUGCAUUCAAUUUUACUGUGUUAACUUGCUACAGUUACAAUAUGUUGAAAUAUUAUGAAUAUUAUAUUAUAACCUUUUACCUUAUUAUUUACCUAAUUGUUAACGUAUUUAAAACACAAAUUUGAGACCGUUUUUUCACUUUAUUUGACAACUGAUUACACAAAUCACACCUUAAUUUAACUCUCAAUUCAUUAUCAUAAAAACAUAAUUAGUGACAAAAGAAAAGCAAAGCGUAUCGAUUUUUAAAUCAUUGUUUUCAUUUCUUUAA